UGGGCUUGAACUGUGAGAGAUUUUAUCAGAGAUGGUAUUUCCGGCAUUCGUGUCGGCUGUUACAG
Molecule: ribosomal RNA, 65 nt
Filed under: uncultured bacterium
Lineage: Bacteria
Description: partial 16S ribosomal RNA
Source: RNAcentral